CAGCCGCCGCGGGAAUACGGAGGGAACUAGCGUUGUUCGGAAUUACUGGGCGUAAAGCGCGCGUAGGCGGUUACUCAAGUCAGAGGUGAAAGCCCGGGGCUCAACCCCGGAACUGCCUUUGAAACUAGGUGACUAGAAUCUUGGAGAGGUCAGUGGAAUUCCGAGUGUAGAGGUGAAAUUCGUAGAUAUUCGGAAGAACACCAGUGGCGAAGGCGACUGACUGGACAAGUAUUGACGCUGAGGUGCGAAAGCGUGGGGAGCAAACAGGAUUAGAUACCCCCGUAGUCCCUGUCUCUUAUAA
RNAcentral lists this ribosomal RNA (301 nucleotides) under uncultured bacterium. Its description in RNAcentral is "partial 16S ribosomal RNA". It matches the Rfam family "Bacterial small subunit ribosomal RNA", at positions 509 to 809 of the family's 1533-position model. The record is from RNAcentral.